CAAGAGAUGCCCACAGACUUAGUAAAACAUUUCUGGGCAUGUCAGGGAGGGUGUUUCAAGAUUAGAUUGGCAUUUGAAUUGCAGACAGUAAAGAAGAUUGCCCUCACCAAUGUGGGCAGGGAUCAUCCUAUCCAUUGAAGGUGGAAAUAGAACAAACUAGCAGAGGAAGAGCAAAUUCUUUCUCUGUGUUUGAGCUAGGACAUCCAUCUUCUCCUGCCUUUGGACAUUGGUGCUCCUGGUUUUGGGGCCUUCCUCUUUGAACUAGGACGUACACCAGCACUUCCCCCAUUUCCACUACCACUCCCAGUCCUUUCCACUCUUUGGACUGAAUUACGCCACCAGCUUUCCUGGUUCUCCAGCUUGCAGAUGGCAGAUGGUGGGACUUUUCAGCCUCCAUAAUCAUACGGCAUCUUGCUACGUUGCCCAGGCUGAACUUAAACUCCGGGGUUCAAGCAAUCCUCUCACCUCAGCCUCCUCAGUA
This 481-nucleotide long non-coding RNA is filed under the name Homo sapiens (human). RNAcentral describes it as "HSALNT0392623". Lineage: Eukaryota; Metazoa; Chordata; Mammalia; Primates; Hominidae. The record is from RNAcentral.